Molecule: long non-coding RNA, 257 nt
Filed under: Ananas comosus (pineapple)
Lineage: Eukaryota; Viridiplantae; Streptophyta; Magnoliopsida; Poales; Bromeliaceae
Description: long non-coding RNA (ACOM_LNC001873)
Source: RNAcentral
AAUCUAUAGCGUUUGAUUCGGAAACAAAUAGCGAAUAAACUCUUGUUCUUCCCUUUAUUUUCUAACAUUAUGUUUGAUAUUCGGGAAAAUUAGUUUUUUAAUUUCUGAACCAAGCUGGUAUAAGACUAGAAUUAUUAUUCCAUCUUUUUCCUAAAAUAAACUUAUUCUUUGACAAAAACAAGAUUAAUUAAAAUCAAAAUUUAAUUUUAAUGGCAGUAAAUUAUUAAUUAAUCUAAUUAAUAUAUUUAAAUUAUUAU